CGUCUAUAUACGUAGUAGCAUAUCAAUAAGCGGAGGAAAAGAAACUAACUAGGAUUCCCUCAGUAACGGCGAGUGAAGCGGGAAGAGCUCAAAUUUGAAAUCUUCAAGGUUUUACCUUGACGAAUUGUAGUUUAAAGAAGUGUUUUCUGUUGGAAGUUUUGGUAAAAGUUCUUUGGAAAUAGGACAUCAUAGAGGGUGAGAAUCCCGUAUUUGACCAUUAUUUCCAACUUUGUGAUACACUUUCAAAGAGUCGGAUUGUUUGGGAAUGCAGUCCAAAAUGGGUGGUAAAUUUCAUCUAAAGCUAAAUACUGGCGAGAGACCGAUAGCGAACAAGUACCGUGAGGGAAAGAUGAAAAGAACUUUGAAAAGAGAGUUAAACAGUACGUGAAAUUGUCAAAAGGGAAGCGUUUGACACCAGUGUUGUUUUCUCGAAAAUCAAUUAAAAAUGGCGGGAUUUUGUGUUGUAUUGACUUUAUCAGCUUUCUGCACUUUUUUCCUUGUCUUUUUUAAUGCACUUUUCGUUUAACAAGUCAACAUCAUAUUUCUUUUGUUGUAAAAGGGUCAUUGGAAGGUGGCUUUCUUUUCGGAGAAAGUGUUUAUAGCCUUUGACUUCUGCAAUCGGAGAGAUUGAGGUCUGCAGCGUAGAUCCUUCGGGGUUAGAUACAUUUGUGCUAAGUUAUAGCCUUUCAUAGACAACUUGUUGACUAUGAUCAGUCAUGUAGCUUACUCGCUUAUGUUAUUUUACCUACGCUUAGGAUGUUGACGAUCAGCUGAGCGCG
RNAcentral lists this ribosomal RNA (779 nucleotides) under uncultured Neocallimastigales. RNAcentral's name for it is "partial large subunit ribosomal RNA". It matches the Rfam family "Eukaryotic large subunit ribosomal RNA", at positions 26 to 628 of the family's 3401-position model. Lineage: Eukaryota; Fungi; Neocallimastigomycota; Neocallimastigomycetes; Neocallimastigales. The record is from RNAcentral.